This 99-nucleotide microRNA precursor is filed under the name Mandrillus leucophaeus (drill). RNAcentral describes it as "miRNA (ENSMLEG00000007954.1)". The record is from RNAcentral. Lineage: Eukaryota; Metazoa; Chordata; Mammalia; Primates; Cercopithecidae.
GAGGUGGGAGGAUCGCUUGAGUCAGGGAGGCAGAGGCUGAAAUAAGCUGUGAUUGCACCCCAGCACUCCAGCCUGAGUGACAGAGCAAGACCCUGUCUC